This is a long non-coding RNA of Ictidomys tridecemlineatus (thirteen-lined ground squirrel), 1027 nucleotides long. RefSeq lists it as uncharacterized. NCBI's taxonomy places the organism in Eukaryota, Metazoa, Chordata, Mammalia, Rodentia, Sciuridae. The record is from RefSeq and is a predicted model, not a curated record.
GGGGACAAAACAACCACAAUUGCUGACAAUUCCUUUUAUUUUGCUUUAAAUGAUGAUUAAGUGUAGUAAUAGCUACCAUUUAUUAAGCCUCCUACCUCCUACCUUAUGGUAAGAUUUACAUAAAAGAGAAGAGCCAAUUAGCAACAUAAGAAGCAGUGGAUGGACCUGAAGAGGAGCGUGGGAGGAGUCAGUGCAGGUUCUGUGGUUGUGAGAAGGAUCUAGUAAUGCUCCAGGCAUGGAUCACAGAGGAGAAAGGAAAACUAAAGGAGUAAAAUCCCCCGGGUUAUCAGAAUUGACAGGAUCUAGAAAUGCAGCUGAAUUUAUUGCCUCUAACUCUUCCCUUUAUCAUAGGAAUAAAGGAGGAAAAGUAGGUGUUGGCACAGGAGUUGAGCAUGCAUUUGCCUGUGUUCAGAGGUGAACCUGCAAGGCAGCGGAUGGCAUCCAGAAGAACCAUGGCCGGACUUCCAUGAUCGAAAGUCACUGGGAACAGGGAGCUUAGGAAAUUGGUAAAAGCAUGGGAAUUGCUGUGCUUUGGACUCUUAGCAAAAUAGGAAGCACAGGGAAGAAAAGAGACUUGCACAGUGAGGAGAGGUCAAAGAACUGCACAUUCUCAUAAAUUUUUAAAAAAGAGAGAGAGAUAAAAAGAAAAUUACUUGUGGGAAUAAUUGGAAGAACUUUGUCUUCAUUUGCUUCCUGUUGCUAAUAGAACAAAGGUUUUUUGUGGCCCUCUGUUCUGGUCCAGUGUUGAGGGCUUGCAGUAGGUGAUGGCCCUCUUGCUGGCAGAGUUCCAAGGUAGCAUAGGGUGUCACAUGCCAAGAGAUGUGGAGCAUACCCGUGUGUGUAGCCCUGGUCUCUCUUGCUCUCAUGUGACCCCUGGGAUUCCAUCUGGGCCGUUCCAUCCCAAAGACUUCAUUUUAGCUUAAUCAUCUCCCAAAGGCUGUACCUCCAAGCACUAUAGCUAAAUUAAAUUUCCAUACCCUUAAUUACUCAUGAUAGAGAUUAAACUUCCACCUGAGUUUUUGGAGGG